GACGAACGCUGGCGGCGUGCUUAACACAUGCAAGUCGAACGGUAAGGCCCCUUCGGGGGUACACGAGUGGCGAACGGGUGAGUAACACGUGAGCAACCUGCCCUUGACUUCGGGAUACCAGUUGGAAACAGCUGCUAAUACCGGAUAUGACUCUCCUCCGCAUGGUGGGGGGUGGAAAGCUCCGGCGGUCAGGGAUGGGCUCGCGGCCUAUCAGCUUGUUGGUGAGGUGAUGGCUCACCAAGGCUUCGACGGGUAGCCGGCCUGAGAGGGCGACCGGCCACACUGGGACUGAGAUACGGCCCAGACUCCUACGGGAGGCAGCAGUGGGGAAUAUUGCACAAUGGGCGCAAGCCUGAUGCAGCAACGCCGCGUGCGGGAUGACGGCCUUCGGGUUGUAAACCGCUUUCAGUAGGGACGAAGCUAACGUGACGGUACCUACAGAAGAAGGACCGGCUAACUACGUGCCAGCAGCCGCAGUAAGAC
This 483-nucleotide ribosomal RNA is filed under the name uncultured bacterium. Its description in RNAcentral is "bacterial SSU rRNA". It matches the Rfam family "Bacterial small subunit ribosomal RNA", at positions 28 to 526 of the family's 1533-position model. The record is from RNAcentral.